Molecule: ribosomal RNA, 488 nt
Filed under: fungal sp.
Lineage: Eukaryota; Fungi
Description: eukaryotic LSU rRNA
Rfam family: 5.8S ribosomal RNA (bases 117-270)
Source: RNAcentral
UCUCUUACCCAUGUCUUUUGAGUACCUUCGUUUCCUCGGCGGGUUCGCCCGCCGGUUGGACAACACUUAAACCCUUUGUAAUUGAAAUCAGCGUCUGAAAAAACUUUAAUAGUUACAACUUUCAACAACGGAUCUCUUGGUUCUGGCAUCGAUGAAGAACGCAGCGAAAUGCGAUAAGUAGUGUGAAUUGCAGAAUUCAGUGAAUCAUCGAAUCUUUGAACGCACAUUGCGCCCCUUGGUAUUCCAUGGGGCAUGCCUGUUCGAGCGUCAUUUGUACCUUCAAGCUCUGCUUGGUGUUGGGUGUUUGUCUCGCCUCUGCGCGCAGACUCGCCUCAAAGCAAUUGGCAGCCGGCGUAUUGAUUUCGGAGCGCAGUACAUCUCGCGCUUUGCACUCAUAACGACGACGUCCAAAAAGUACAUUUUUUACACUCUUGACCUCGGAUCAGGUAGGGAUACCCGCUGAACUUAAGCAUAUCAAUAAGCGGAGG